CGUACGCUGGCGGCACGCCUUAUACAUGCAAGUCGAACGAAGUAGCAAUACUUAGUGGCAGACGGGUGAGUAACAUGUGGGUAUCUUCCCUUUGGUGAGGAAUAACACGAGGAAACUUGUGCUAAUACCUCAUAAGUCUUUACGGAGAAAGCUUUAUGCGCCAAUGGAUGAGCCCGCACUUGAUUAGUUUGUUGGUGGGGUAAUGGCCUACCAAGACUUUGAUCAAUAGCUGAUCUGAGAGGAUGAUCAGCCACAUUGGGACUGAGACACGGCCCAAACUCCUACGGGAGGCAGCAGUAGGGAAUAUUGCACAAUGGAGGAAACUCUGAUGCAGCGAUGCCGCGUGAGUGAAGAAGGCCUUUGGGUUGUAAAGCUCUUUCGUCGGGGAAGAAAAUGACGGUACCCGAAUAAGAAGGUCCGGCUAACU
RNAcentral lists this ribosomal RNA (427 nucleotides) under uncultured bacterium. RNAcentral's name for it is "bacterial SSU rRNA". It matches the Rfam family "Bacterial small subunit ribosomal RNA", at positions 30 to 502 of the family's 1533-position model. The record is from RNAcentral.